RNAcentral lists this ribosomal RNA (301 nucleotides) under uncultured bacterium. RNAcentral's name for it is "partial 16S ribosomal RNA". It matches the Rfam family "Bacterial small subunit ribosomal RNA", at positions 509 to 807 of the family's 1533-position model. The record is from RNAcentral.
CAGUAGCCGCGGUAAUACGGAGGAUCCAAGCGUUAUCCGGAUUUAUUGGGUUUAAAGGGUGCGUAGGUGGCCUGUUAAGUCAGGGGUGAAAGACGGUAGCUUAACUAUCGCAGUGCCCUUGAUACUGAUGGGCUUGAAUGAACUAGAGGUAGGCGGAAUGUGACAAGUAGCGGUGAAAUGCAUAGAUAUGUCACAGAACACCGAUUGCGAAGGCAGCUUACUAUGGUUUUAUUGACACUGAGGCACGAAAGCGUGGGGAUCAAACAGGAUUAGAUACCCCAGUAGUCCCUGUCUCUUAUAC